This 396-nucleotide long non-coding RNA is filed under the name Lotus japonicus. RNAcentral describes it as "long non-coding RNA (LJAP_LNC001808)". Lineage: Eukaryota; Viridiplantae; Streptophyta; Magnoliopsida; Fabales; Fabaceae. The record is from RNAcentral.
UUUAAUUUUGGCAGCGGGAAGAGACAGCAGAGAGGAGCCUCGUCCAUUUGGUUAGCUAUUGUGUGGUCAAUAUGGUUAUUGCGUAAUGAGGUGGUUUUUAGAGCGGCUGAGGUGGAUAUCCCGUCGAUCUUAGAGCUGAUUAAGUGGAGAUCAUGGCAUUGGAUUAAAGCUAAGUUGAGUGGAUUUUCUUGUUCGUUGUUUGAAUGGUCUAGACACCCGCUUAUUUGUCUCCAAGAACUGUAAUGGGAUUGCAGGUUUUAGAUUUUUGUAGCUAGGUUAUACUUCUGGGUUGUAGUUUAUUAGCUUUUUUCUUGUUUUUUCUUUUCUCUUUGUAUUAAGGGUUGGAGUACCCCUUGUACUCCCUUUAAUGCAUUCUUUUGCCUAUCAAAAAAAAAA